UACGUAGGGGGCAAGCGUUGUCCGGAAUCAUUGGGCGUAAAGAGCGUGUAGGCGGCCCUGUAAGUCCGUUGUGAAAGUCGAGGGCUCAACCCUCGAAUGCCGGCGGAUACUGUCGGGCUCGAGUACGGAAGAGGCGAGUGGAAUUCCUGGUGUAGCGGUGAAAUGCGCAGAUAUCAGGAGGAACACCAACUGCGAAGGCAGCUCGCUGGGACGUUACUGACGCUGAGACGCGAAAGCGUGGGGAGCAAACAGG
This 253-nucleotide ribosomal RNA is filed under the name uncultured bacterium. Its description in RNAcentral is "partial 16S ribosomal RNA". It matches the Rfam family "Bacterial small subunit ribosomal RNA", at positions 524 to 776 of the family's 1533-position model. The record is from RNAcentral.